UUUAUACUCAUUCCGUUCCAAAAUUCUUGUUUUAGAUUUGUCUAGAUAUGAAUGCAUCUAGUCACGGUUUGGUAUUUAGAUACAUCCAUUUUUAGACAAACCUAAGCCAAGAAUUUUAGGACGGAGGGAGUAGUAU
This 136-nucleotide microRNA precursor is filed under the name Hordeum vulgare. Its description in RNAcentral is "microRNA MIR1122". It matches the Rfam family "MIR1120/MIR1122 microRNA precursor family". The record is from RNAcentral. Lineage: Eukaryota; Viridiplantae; Streptophyta; Magnoliopsida; Poales; Poaceae.